CAAUCCAUGAGUAAAGUGGCGACCGGGUGAGUAAUACGUGACUAACCUACCUUCGAGUGGGGGAUAACAUCGGGAAACCGAUGCUAAUACCGCAUAACAUCGCAAGAUCAAAGCAGCAAUGCGCUGGAAGAGGGGGUCGCGGCUGAUUAGCUAGUUGGCGGGGUAACGGCCCACCAAGGCGACAAUCCGUAGCUGGUCUGAGAGGACGACCAGCCACACCGGAACUGAGACACGGUCCGGACUCCUACGGGAGGCAGCAGUGGGGAAUAUUGGACAAUGGGGGAAACCCUGAUCCAGCGACGCCGCGUGUGUGAAGAAGGCCUGCGGGUUGUAAAGCACUUUUAGUGGGGACAAAAAGCUACGGAUUAAUACUCUGUGGUCUUGAUUUAACCCAAAGAAAAAGCACCGGCUAACUCUGUGCCAGCAGCCGCGGUAAUACAGAGGGUGCGA
This 450-nucleotide ribosomal RNA is filed under the name uncultured bacterium. Its description in RNAcentral is "bacterial SSU rRNA". It matches the Rfam family "Bacterial small subunit ribosomal RNA", at positions 80 to 537 of the family's 1533-position model. The record is from RNAcentral.